GACGAACGCUGGCGGCGUGCUUAACACAUGCAAGUCGAACGGAAAGGCCCUGCUUUUGUGGGGUGCUCGAGUGGCGAACGGGUGAGUAACACGUGAGUAACCUGCCCUUGACUUUGGGAUAACUUCAGGAAACUGGGGCUAAUACCGGAUAGGAGCUCCUGCUGCAUGGGGGGGGUUGGAAAGUUUCGGCGGUUGGGGAUGGACUCGCGGCUUAUGAGCUUGUUGGUGGGGUAGUGGCUUACCAAGGCUUUGACGGGUAGCCGGCCUGGGAGGGUGACCGGCCACAUUGGGCCUGAGAUACGGCCCAGACUCCUACGGGCGGCAGCAGUGGGGAAUAUUGCACAAUGGGCGGAAGCCUGAUGCAGCAACGCCGCGUGCGGGAUGACGGCCUUCGGGUUGUAAACCGCUUUCGCCUGUGACGAAGCGUGAGUGACGGUAAUGGGUAAAGAAGCACCGGCUAACUACGUG
This 468-nucleotide ribosomal RNA is filed under the name uncultured bacterium. RNAcentral's name for it is "partial 16S ribosomal RNA". It matches the Rfam family "Bacterial small subunit ribosomal RNA", at positions 28 to 507 of the family's 1533-position model. The record is from RNAcentral.